GUCUUCUAGUUUGUUAUUGGAAGUCUGACCUGCCCGGUGAUUUAUUUUAACGGCCGCGGUAUAUUGACCGUGCAAAGGUAGCAUAAUCAUUAGUCUUUUAAUAGGGGACUGGUAUGAAGGGUUUGACGAGGAGUUGACUGUCUCAUUUUAAUUUUUUGAAUUUGACUUUUUAGUUAAAAGGCUUGAAAAUGUUGUUGGUAGACGAGAAGACCCUAUAGAGCUUUACAUUCAAUAUUAUUUUAUUUUUUUUGUUUUAUUUAAAAUUAUUUUUUUUUGUUUGUUUUAUUGGGGCGAUAUUUGAAUAUGAAUAACUUCUUUUUUUUUUUCAUUGAUUUAUGUGUUUUUGAUCCGUUUUAUUUGACGAUUAUUAGAUUAAGUUACCUUAGGGAUAACAGCGUAAUCCUUUUUUGGAGUUCUUAUUUGCAAAAGGGUUUGCGACCUCGAUGUUGGAUUAAGAUGACUAUUUGGUGCAGUUGCUUAAUUAGUAGGUCUGUUCGACCUUUAAAUUCUUACAUGAUCUGAGUUCAAACCGG
Molecule: ribosomal RNA, 533 nt
Filed under: Drepanosticta actaeon
Lineage: Eukaryota; Metazoa; Arthropoda; Insecta; Odonata; Platystictidae
Description: partial 16S ribosomal RNA
Rfam family: Bacterial large subunit ribosomal RNA
Source: RNAcentral